This is a long non-coding RNA of Vicia villosa (hairy vetch), 399 nucleotides long. RefSeq lists it as uncharacterized. The record is from RefSeq and is a predicted model, not a curated record. The transcript is spliced from 2 exons. NCBI's taxonomy places the organism in Eukaryota, Viridiplantae, Streptophyta, Magnoliopsida, Fabales, Fabaceae.
CUAAACAAAAAUUGAUAGAGUUAUGGCAGUAAGUACCGUAAAAGCUAGUCUUGUGGUGAUGUUAAUCACUAUGUUAGUUGUAAUACAAGUUGAAUCCAUCCCUCAAUCUGAAGAAUUUAAAUCUACCAAGUUGGUACAGCCAUUUUGUGAAAUAAAAUGUGACGCAGAAUGUAUCAAAAAGAAUCUGGGUGCGGAGUUUGAUAAUUGUGUGAGAGAAUGUAGAAAACAUUGCUAACAAAGUCAUCCUUAACUUAAGCCAUGGUGUGUGCAUGUCGUGCAUACAUACAUUGCUAUGUGCUGGAGAGUUUCAGUGAUAAUAAAUAAGUAAUUCGUAUGUAUUGCGAAAUUCAAUGUAAUAAAAUGUAUCACGAAACUUAAAUAAAAAUAUAUUAAGUAUUA